Molecule: ribosomal RNA, 1500 nt
Filed under: metagenome
Description: bacterial SSU rRNA
Rfam family: Bacterial small subunit ribosomal RNA
Source: RNAcentral
AGAGUUUGAUCAUGGCUCAGAUUGAACGCUGGCGGCAGGCCUAACACAUGCAAGUCGAACGGUAACAGGAAGCAGCUUGCUGCUUCGCUGACGAGUGGCGGACGGGUGAGUAAUGUCUGGGAAGCUGCCUGAUGGAGGGGGAUAACUACUGGAAACGGUAGCUAAUACCGCAUAAUGUCGCAAGACCAAAGAGGGGGACCUUCGGGCCUCUUGCCAUCGGAUGUGCCCAGAUGGGAUUAGCUUGUUGGUGGGGUAACGGCUCACCAAGGCGACGAUCCCUAGCUGGUCUGAGAGGAUGACCAGCCACACUGGAACUGAGACACGGUCCAGACUCCUACGGGAGGCAGCAGUGGGGAAUAUUGCACAAUGGGCGCAAGCCUGAUGCAGCCAUGCCGCGUGUAUGAAGAAGGCCUUCGGGUUGUAAAGUACUUUCAGCGGGGAGGAAGGGAGUAAAGUUAAUACCUUUGCUCAUUGACGUUACCCGCAGAAGAAGCACCGGCUAACUCCGUGCCAGCAGCCGCGGUAAUACGGAGGGUGCAAGCGUUAAUCGGAAUUACUGGGCGUAAAGCGCACGCAGGCGGUUUGUUAAGUCAGAUGUGAAAUCCCCGGGCUCAACCUGGGAACUGCAUCUGAUACUGGCAAGCUUGAGUCUCGUAGAGGGGGGUAGAAUUCCAGGUGUAGCGGUGAAAUGCGUAGAGAUCUGGAGGAAUACCGGUGGCGAAGGCGGCCCCCUGGACGAAGACUGACGCUCAGGUGCGAAAGCGUGGGGAGCAAACAGGAUUAGAUACCCUGGUAGUCCACGCCGUAAACGAUGUCGACUUGGAGGUUGUGCCCUUGAGGCGUGGCUUCCGGAGCUAACGCGUUAAGUCGACCGCCUGGGGAGUACGGCCGCAAGGUUAAAACUCAAAUGAAUUGACGGGGGCCCGCACAAGCGGUGGAGCAUGUGGUUUAAUUCGAUGCAACGCGAAGAACCUUACCUGGUCUUGACAUCCACGGAAGUUUUCAGAGAUGAGAAUGUGCCUUCGGGAACCGUGAGACAGGUGCUGCAUGGCUGUCGUCAGCUCGUGUUGUGAAAUGUUGGGUUAAGUCCCGCAACGAGCGCAACCCUUAUCCUUUGUUGCCAGCGGUCCGGCCGGGAACUCAAAGAAGACUGCCAGUGAUAAACUGGAGGAAGGUGGGGAUGACGUCAAGUCAUCAUGGCCCUUACGACCAGGGCUACACACGUGCUACAAUGGCGCAUACAAAGAGAAGCGACCUCGCGAGAGCAAGCGGACCUCAUAAAGUGCGUCGUAGUCCGGAUUGGAGUCUGCAACUCGACUCCAUGAAGUCGGAAUCGCUAGUAAUCGUGGAUCAGAAUGCCACGGUGAAUACGUUCCCGGGCCUUGUACACACCGCCCGUCACACCAUGGGAGUGGGUUGCAAAAGAAGUAGGUAGCUUAACCUUCGGGAGGGCGCUUACCACUUUGUGAUUCAUGACUGGGGUGAAGUCGUAACAAGGUA